GAUGAACGCUGGCGGCGUGCCUAAUACAUGCAAGUCGAGCGAACAGACGAGGAGCUUGCUCCUCUGACGUUAGCGGCGGACGGGUGAGUAACACGUGGAUAACCUACCUAUAAGACUGGGAUAACUUCGGGAAACCGGAGCUAAUACCGGAUAAUAUAUUGAACCGCAUGGUUCAAUAGUGAAAGACGGUUUUGCUGUCACUUAUAGAUGGAUCCGCGCCGCAUUAGCUAGUUGGUAAGGUAACGGCUUACCAAGGCAACGAUGCGUAGCCGACCUGAGAGGGUGAUCGGCCACACUGGAACUGAGACACGGUCCAGACUCCUACGGGAGGCAGCAGUAGGGAAUCUUCCGCAGUGGGCGAAAGCCUGACGGAGCAACGCCGCGUGAGUGAUGAAGGUCUUCGGAUCGUAAAACGCUGUUAUUAGGGAAGAACAAAUGUGUAAGUAACGAUGCACGUCUUGACGGUACCUAAUCAGAAAGCCACGGCUAACUACGU
RNAcentral lists this ribosomal RNA (496 nucleotides) under uncultured bacterium. RNAcentral describes it as "partial 16S ribosomal RNA". It matches the Rfam family "Bacterial small subunit ribosomal RNA", at positions 28 to 506 of the family's 1533-position model. The record is from RNAcentral.